UGUUUUAGAUCCCCCAGCCAUCAGUUCUUGUCCCUCCAAGCUGCCAAGCUCUUCUGUGAAGUACAGUCAUGGAACUUCAGAGAAGCCUUCCAUGGUUAGGUCAUUCGAUGCUGUCACCCCUUCCACAUAAAUAGCACAUCUGCUCAAGACAUAGAGUUUAUUUUGAAGGACACAGGUAAUUCAAAAGCUAUUUAUGUUUGAAUAGUACUUACCUAAUUUAAA
This 222-nucleotide long non-coding RNA is filed under the name Lynx canadensis (Canada lynx). RNAcentral's name for it is "lncRNA (ENSLCNG00005003692.1)". The record is from RNAcentral. Lineage: Eukaryota; Metazoa; Chordata; Mammalia; Carnivora; Felidae.